CGCGGUGAAUACGUUCCCCGGGCCGUGUACACACCGCCCGUCAAGCCAUGGAAGUCAGGGAGACCUGAAGACGGUAACCGUAUAGGAGCCGUUUAGGGUAAAACGUGGUAACGUGGGGCU
Molecule: ribosomal RNA, 120 nt
Filed under: uncultured bacterium
Lineage: Bacteria
Description: partial 16S ribosomal RNA
Rfam family: Bacterial small subunit ribosomal RNA
Source: RNAcentral